AUUGAACGCUGGCGGCAUGCUUUACACAUGCAAGUCGGACGGCAGCACAGAGAAGCUUGCUUCUUGGGUGGCGAGUGGCGAACGGGUGAGUAAUAUAUCGGAACGUACCGAGUAAUGGGGGAUAACUAAUCGAAAGAUUAGCUAAUACCGCAUAUUCUCUGAGGAGGAAAGCAGGGGUCCUUCGGGCCUUGCGUUAUUCGAGCGGCCGAUAUCUGAUUAGCUAGUUGGUGGGGUAAAGGCCUACCAAGGCGACGAUCUGUAGCGGGUCUGAGAGGAUGAUCCGCCACACUGGGACUGAGACACGGCCCAGACUCCUACGGGAGGCAGCAGUGGGGAAUUUUGGACAAUGGGCGCAAGCCUGAUCCAGCCAUGCCGCGUGUCUGAAGAAGGCCUUCGGGUUGUAAAGGUCUUUUGUCAGGGAAGAAAAGGCUGUUGCUAAUAUCAAUAGCUGAUGACGGUACCUGAAGAAUAAGCACCGGCUAACUACGUG
Molecule: ribosomal RNA, 490 nt
Filed under: uncultured bacterium
Lineage: Bacteria
Description: partial 16S ribosomal RNA
Rfam family: Bacterial small subunit ribosomal RNA
Source: RNAcentral